AGCGAACGCUGGCGGCAGGCUUAACACAUGCAAGUCGAGCGGGCAUAGCAAUAUGUCAGCGGCAGACGGGUGAGUAACGCGUGGGAACGUACCUUUUGGUUCGGAACAACUGAGGGAAACUUCAGCUAAUACCGGAUAAGCCCUUACGGGGAAAGAUUUAUCGCCGAAAGAUCGGCCCGCGCCUGAUUAGCUAGUUGGUGAGGUAAUGGCUCACCAAGGCGACGAUCAGUAGCUGGUCUGAGAGGAUGAUCAGCCACAUUGGGACUGAGACACGGCCCAAACUCCUACGGGAGGCAGCAGUGGGGAAUAUUGGACAAUGGGCGCAAGCCUGAUCCAGCCAUGCCGCGUGAGUGAUGAAGGCCCUAGGGUUGUAAAGCUCUUUUGUGCGGGAAGAUAAUGACGGUACCGCAAGAAUAAGCCCCGGCUAACUUCGUG
Molecule: ribosomal RNA, 435 nt
Filed under: uncultured bacterium
Lineage: Bacteria
Description: partial 16S ribosomal RNA
Rfam family: Bacterial small subunit ribosomal RNA
Source: RNAcentral